Danio rerio (zebrafish) is the source of this 115-nucleotide ribosomal RNA. NCBI's taxonomy places the organism in Eukaryota, Metazoa, Chordata, Actinopteri, Cypriniformes, Danionidae. The record is from Ensembl.
GCCAGCAGCUAGCUCUCUGCGACUCUGACAUGAUCACCCGCAGAAGCUAAGCAGGGCUGCACCCGGUCAGUACUGGAAUGGGAGACCACAUGGAAAAGCUAGGUUGCUGCCAGAA